GGGAGGAGCUUAUGGGUGGAAAAAGGGCCCAAAGUUUGAGGGCGGACCUGAGGCAGAUUUUGCGGUACUAAGGGAACCGAGAGGGAAGUACAAAGACCCGGAAGGAUGAUGCCACGAUUAUUCCCCUUCAGGAAUGGUUCAGCCCAACCGCCUCAAUCUUUCACCGUUAGCUGCACUACUUAAAGACACGGUUCUGCCCCGACGUCCCUGCCUGGCUUGAGCAGCUUUUGGCCUCCAGCAUCCAUCCUGUAGUCUAGGCCUCAAACAAAGUUGGACAAAGCCAGGUUGGGAAAGGAUUCCUGGCAUAAUGACACCCUCUUUCUGGUUGCAUAUAAUGGUCAAAGACAAUCCUAGGAGUGCUGGCAGUUAUGAAGUGGUCCAAACUAAGGAUGAAGCACUGAGAAACAAACCAAGCAACUAGAUCAAGCCUCACC
Nannospalax galili (Upper Galilee mountains blind mole rat) is the source of this 434-nucleotide long non-coding RNA. RefSeq lists it as uncharacterized. The transcript is spliced from 3 exons. The record is from RefSeq and is a predicted model, not a curated record. Lineage: Eukaryota; Metazoa; Chordata; Mammalia; Rodentia; Spalacidae.